UACGGAGGGUGCAAGCGUUAUCCGGAUUCACUGGGUUUAAAGGGUGCGUAGGCGGGCAGGUAAGUCAGUGGUGAAAUCCCCGAGCUCAACUUGGGAAUUGCCGUUGAUACUAUCUGUCUUGAAUAUCGUGGAGGUGAGCGGAAUAUGUCAUGUAGCGGUGAAAUGCUUAGAUAUGACAUAGAACACCCAUUGCGAAGGCAGCUCACUACACGAUAAUUGACGCUGAGGCACGAAGGCGUGGGGAGCAAACAGG
RNAcentral lists this ribosomal RNA (253 nucleotides) under uncultured bacterium. RNAcentral's name for it is "partial 16S ribosomal RNA". It matches the Rfam family "Bacterial small subunit ribosomal RNA", at positions 524 to 776 of the family's 1533-position model. The record is from RNAcentral.